This is a non-coding RNA of Camellia sinensis, 313 nucleotides long. The record is from RefSeq and is a predicted model, not a curated record. Lineage: Eukaryota; Viridiplantae; Streptophyta; Magnoliopsida; Ericales; Theaceae.
AGAUUUGAAGAUUUUGAUCGAUUGUUGAUAAAGAUUUGAAGAUUUCAAUCUGCUGUUGAUGAAGAUUUCGAUCGAUUCAGAAUUGAGAUUCAUAAUCGCUAUGAGGAUUCAAGAAGACUACGGAUUGCUGUUAUCCAUGGACUGGCACGAAUGGCUGCGAUCAUGGCCUCAACUUACAAGGCAUAUUUGGGUGUCGGCCUUGGCCCAUUAUCGUUUUUGACAAAGUUUAGGAUACCACAUCCAGGAAGAGUUGGAGGGAGCUUUUUUAUCGACCUUGCAAUGCCUUUAAUGUUGAGUUGGGUCCUCGGCGAUA